RNAcentral lists this microRNA precursor (152 nucleotides) under Amborella trichopoda. Its description in RNAcentral is "MIR8565 microRNA precursor family". It matches the Rfam family "MIR8565 microRNA precursor family". Lineage: Eukaryota; Viridiplantae; Streptophyta; Magnoliopsida; Amborellales; Amborellaceae. The record is from Rfam by way of RNAcentral.
UUCACAGCCAUGUGUGUAGGACCCCAAAGGAUCACCAUUAAAUUUGGCACAGAUCUCUAGAAAAGUUAUCACAUGGGAGUGGGACUUGACUUUUCUAGAGAUCUGUGCCAAAUUUAAUCAUGAUCUUUUGGGGUCCUACAUGUGGGUGUGGG